This 74-nucleotide transfer RNA is filed under the name Candidatus Omnitrophota bacterium. Its description in RNAcentral is "tRNA-Gly". It matches the Rfam family "tRNA". From Rfam's summary of the family: Transfer RNA (tRNA) molecules are approximately 80 nucleotides in length. The record is from RNAcentral. Lineage: Bacteria; Pseudomonadati; Candidatus Omnitrophota.
GCGGGGGUAAUUCAGUGGUAGAAUUUCAGCUUCCCAAGCUGAGCACGCGGGUUCGAUUCCCGUCCCCCGCUCCA